Molecule: long non-coding RNA, 1689 nt
Filed under: Astyanax mexicanus (Mexican tetra)
Lineage: Eukaryota; Metazoa; Chordata; Actinopteri; Characiformes; Acestrorhamphidae
Description: lncRNA (ENSAMXG00005006510.1)
Source: RNAcentral
UGAUGGAGCGACUGGCCGAUUUACUGAAGUAGCUGGAUGACCUGGUCUGGAUCUCUGGACUGGGCUGCAGCUUCCAACAGAGUGACUCAGUGCUGGAGCUUCUGCUGCUUCUGUGGAGGAAAUGUGCUUCUGCUGGGAGAGAACUGGAGCAGAGGAACUGAACUGGACUCGAGCAGACUGGGCUGGAUUACCUGGACCACACUUAGUUUGUGAGAUAUUGUAAGGUCCUCCUUCCUGGAGCUCCAGUAACGUCCUGCAAACCUGCAGCUUCACAGUUCCUCACACUUGUGCUCCAACUGCGUCCAGCGUUGUGUUGUGGGGAAACACGGCUCUGACGAAGAACCGGGCUGGAGUUCUGGACUGAACUGGACCUGCUGCUGUAAUGUGUGUCAAAGCUGGAGCUGCACAGUUGUCCGGACUUGUUCACAACUCUGUCCAGCAGCACAUGUGCAGCUAAUGCCGAGGAACCCUGCCGACAGCUCCAAAUCAUCAGCCUGCAAAAGCUUCACACAACAGGGGCCAUGGCUGACUGAUUUAUGCCUCUCAGACCAAGGAGAGUAUUUCAGGACUUCGACCAAGUGGGACAACACUGCCGUCUGUGAAGACAUCGCAUCAGCUGUGUGUGUGAGUAUGCAGGUUCAAUUCCCAGUGAUGCCACAGGCACCUGCCAGUGAUCGGGGAGUCCCAGAGAGCCUAACUGUUCUUUACCUUACAUUACUAUUUUACCUUUUCUCCUGUUUUAUUUUAUUUUUCGUUUACUGUUUACUUUAAUUCUCUCUCUUUUUAUGAGAGCUACUGUUUUAUGAGAGCUAUUACCUGUGAGAACAUCACCAGUUUUGAUGAGUGAAAGACAGACGGACAGAAAGAGACAGAGAGGGAGAGAGAGAUUAUGUUUCCACUGCUUAUAGAUAUAGAUAUUAAUUUCAGUAUGCUCCUAAAUUAAUUAGCAGUUUAAAGCUUUGUGUAUUUCAAUAUAUUUAUUAUUUAGACCACAUAUUCAUAUUAAACGUUUGUACUGCACAAAAUGAUCACCCAAAUAUAGCAAGCAUAAAACUUGCACUGCUUCCUCCUUCACUCCCCAAAAUUCAACUAACAACAAGUAGAUUUUACAGAUAAAUCAGACCUAAUUUAAGUAUUUAUUUAUUUAGUCCUUCUCAUUCCGCAAUAUACCCAGUAUGUUAAUAUAUUUUAGAUCACUGUGAAAGAAGCAAAAGUAACAAGAGGCAUGUUUCAGUCAAAAUUAGUUGUAUGUGGACAACACCUGUGUUUACAAAGUUCAAGAUAGUCUUAGAAAUGUUUACAAUGUGUUUUUUAUAUUAUAUCAGCAUCUUUAAUUUUUUUUUUAAUGUCUGUGUUCAGAUCUGAUAGGACUGUGUAUAGAUUAAUGACACAUUUACAAACAUUUCAAAGGCUCAGACUCCGGUAGGUGGGGAGAUGGAGGGGUUAUUACUUAUGGAAUUUUAAAAAUUAGAGAUAAUUCUGAAAGAGGGGCACAUUGGCCCCUCGCUGCACUGUAUACAUCAGCACGUCACCACCUGAGAAUCAGUGUGUAACACCUACCUCACCAUGCCUCACUGUUCAACAUUUACAAUAAUAUUAGAGCUCUUUAAACAAACACCCAAAGAUCGUACAUUACUUGUUUUUUUUUUUUUGAAUAAAUCAGUUACUCUUGCAUUUUAUUAAUGAACU